AAGUCGAACGGAAAGGCCCUGCUUGCAGGGUACUCGAGUGGCGAACGGGUGAGUAACACGUGGGUGAUCUGCCCUGCACUUCGGGAUAAGCCUGGGAAACUGGGUCUAAUACCGGAUAGGAGCCAUUUUUAGUGUGAUGGUUGGAAAGUUUUUUCGGUGUAGGAUGAGCUCGCGGCCUAUCAGCUUGUUGGUGGGGUAAUGGCCUACCAAGGCGGCGACGGGUAGCCGGCCUGAGAGGGUGGACGGCCACAUUGGGACUGAGAUACGGCCCAGACUCCUACGGGAGGCAGCAGUGGGGAAUAUUGCACAAUGGGCGCAAGCCUGAUGCAGCGACGCCGCGUGGGGGAUGACGGCCUUCGGGUUGUAAACUCCUUUCGCUAGGGACGAAGCUUUUUGUGACGGUACCUAGAUAAGAAGCACCGGCUAACUACGUGCCAGCAGCCGCGGUAAUACGUAGGGUGCGAGCGUUGUCCGGAAUUACUGGGCGUAAAGGGCUCGUAGGUGGUUUGUCGCGUCGUCUGUGAAAU
This 527-nucleotide ribosomal RNA is filed under the name uncultured Actinomycetales bacterium. RNAcentral describes it as "bacterial SSU rRNA". It matches the Rfam family "Bacterial small subunit ribosomal RNA", at positions 59 to 600 of the family's 1533-position model. Lineage: Bacteria; Bacillati; Actinomycetota; Actinomycetes; Actinomycetales. The record is from RNAcentral.